AUUCCUCAAAGAAUGAGGAAGAAUUAGAGUAACGUAAUGGAAGCGUAAAUGUAUUAGAUUAUGAAUCUGAUCCAUCAUUGGAUGUUUCUUCAUUAUGAAUGAAGAGAUAAACAAAUAUCUCUUUAUUAUGACUAAAGAGAUAUUUGGAUGGAAACAUUAAAGUAAUGACUUUAAUGUGUUCCAUUAUGAAUGCAAGAUAUAUUGCCAUAUAGAAGUUUACAACAAUGUUGUUUGGAUGGGAAAGUUCAUUUAUGAACUCUCUAUUCGGUUCCAACCAGAAAGUGUAUGACACUAAUGGGGCGAUAGCUCAAGCCUGGGAAUCAAGGUCUCAUCAAGAUCUGAACACAAAUGAGAGACUGAACCACAUGAUUGAGAAUCAUGUAUAAUGGUGACGUCGUUAUUCUCAACGUUGCUUCUAUGGAUAACAUAUAGAUAUCCAUUGACUAGGCCUACUACUCAGCCAUUUAUGAAAUGACUACAGAAGAGGUAUCAUACUGAUGACCAAGCUGAUUGGCUCUAGUGCAAGUGGAAGAUUGUUGGAAAUGUGCCCUAAAGCCAAUCAU
Molecule: long non-coding RNA, 563 nt
Filed under: Malus domestica (apple)
Lineage: Eukaryota; Viridiplantae; Streptophyta; Magnoliopsida; Rosales; Rosaceae
Description: long non-coding RNA (MDOM_LNC009074)
Source: RNAcentral